CAUCCCUUGCAUGGUGGAGGGUGCACUUGCUGAAAACCCCUCCCACAUGCAGGGUUUGCA
This 60-nucleotide microRNA precursor is filed under the name Pteropus alecto (black flying fox). RNAcentral describes it as "microRNA pal-mir-188 precursor". Its record names the gene pal-mir-188. The record is from miRBase by way of RNAcentral. Lineage: Eukaryota; Metazoa; Chordata; Mammalia; Chiroptera; Pteropodidae.